Molecule: non-coding RNA, 1761 nt
Organism: Tetranychus urticae (two-spotted spider mite)
Lineage: Eukaryota; Metazoa; Arthropoda; Arachnida; Trombidiformes; Tetranychidae
Source: RefSeq, a predicted model, not a curated record
AGUGAAGUCACUUUUUUUAUGUUUAGAUUUGUUAAUUUUAUAAAUUGAUUUCGUUUGUUUAAUUGCUUACUUUUAUGUUGCUUUAUAAUUUUGAUUGUUAACGAUUUGUCUAUCAACUCAAUUUCAAUCUUAGUUGAAUAACUAUUUGUAAUUAUCGAUACAUGUCAGCUUGCUCAUUCUUAUGCAUAUUUUUUUAUGUUUCAUUCAACCUGCUUGACUUUUUUUAUGUUAACACAUCUUUGAAAUUGUAUUCAAAGUGGUACUCAUCAAGUGUUUUAAGUGGUUGGAAAGAGUUGGCCGAUUUAAUAAAAAACGAUGUUUCUGCAAGGUUCAAUGGACAUUGAAAAUAUAAGGACGACCAUGCAAUGGACAAGCAAUAGACAAGGAUAAUUCAAUGAAUUUUGAUAUAACUGCUAUUAUUCCAGAUUGUGGACUAAUCAGGAUCUGAUAUGAUACAAAGAGCAAGCAAUCAUCUGGAUGUUAUCAAUAGUUAUGGCCGUGAAGAUAUUGAAAAAGCCUUCGAUUGUUACAUUUGUUGGUAUUAUUACUGGAUGGCUUUAAUCAUGAUUUGAACAACAUAUUCUAUAUGAUUUGUGGCGAUAGUAUUUCUUUAUCCAGUUUGUAUAACAAUCAGAUAACUUUGGAUCUUAUAUCAUUUUGGUUGAAUCUUUCUUGUUUGUUAUCCAUUUAACCAGCCAUUGAUUGGCUUUACUAAAAGCAUCAUCAUUAUCUUCACAAUCACCAUCAUCAUCUUCAUCUGUUUCGCCUUUAUCAUGAUUGUUCAUUUUUCACGCCUUGAUGGUACAAUAAAAGCUGAUGUUGAUAGCAACAAAAGUGUUUUCAAUGGACACAAUAUCACAUUUUGUUUUGAUGCAAGCAUUUUCCUCUUCUCCAUCCAAAGGUCUCAAAUAUUAUUGCAACAAAGGAUGGCUGGAUGAUAAAAGAGGAGAAAGAUAAAUGAAAAGAAAGGCAAAGAAAGGGAUGAAGAUGUUACCCAAAAAGAAAGGUUGCUCAGGGUUACCCUGUGAAGUUAUCGAAGGAGGAAUUUUUGGCUUGAAAUAAAAAAAUAACAGAGCUGAUAUUUUUGCUGCUGUUGACUAUCAUCUUAUUGCUGGUUGAUUCUUCUGAUCCAUUAAGCUUUUUAGAUCAAUUUCCUAUUGCGAUUGAGAAGAUAUUUUUCCCCAAAGAAUCUUAUUGAAACUGUCUCUUUCUUUCACUUGCCUUCUCACACAAGCACACACACUUUAAGACACAAUCAUCUUGAGCUUCAUCUUUUUUCAUCAUCAGUUUCCUUUCUUCCACCAAUCAAUUCAACUUUGAAACCUUUUCGCCAUCUUCAUCAACCAUCAUCAUCUUUAGACCUCUAUUAAUAGAAACAGAAUCAACAAGCUUUCUUUCAAUUUGAUUAUUUUUGAUUCAACUUGAUGUUGCUAAUAGUAACACAGGAAGACUCUUAAUUGCAGCUAAUCUCAACUAAUAUUCACUUGUCACUCGAUUUCCGGUUCAACAGUUAUCAUCAUGAAAUGUGUGAGGCCAAUAGGAACCAAAGAAACAAAAUAAAAAAAAAGUUAACAAGCAAAUUGUCAAAAGCAAAUUAGCCUUAUUACCAGUAACCAACAUAUAAUGCAUUACCUUUUACUGUUUCACUUUUCGCUUAAAAGAUGACAAAUAAUCUUGAAUGAACCGCAAAUUUGGUGAAUUGGAUUUUUGUUUGGCAAAAAAAGGAGAAGUUAAUUAAAUAAAAACAGAAUUACCUGCAAA